RNAcentral lists this ribosomal RNA (502 nucleotides) under Penicillium concentricum. Its description in RNAcentral is "eukaryotic LSU rRNA". The stretch from base 166 to 318 matches the Rfam family "5.8S ribosomal RNA". Lineage: Eukaryota; Fungi; Ascomycota; Eurotiomycetes; Eurotiales; Aspergillaceae. The record is from RNAcentral.
GCCCUUUGGGUCCAACCUCCCACCCGUGUUUAUUUACCUUGUUGCUUCGGCGGGCCCGCCUUAACUGGCCGCCGGGGGGCUUACGCCCCCGGGCCCGCGCCCGCCGAAGACACCCUCGAACUCUGUCUGAAGAUUGUAGUCUGAGUGAAAAUAUAAAUUAUUUAAAACUUUCAACAACGGAUCUCUUGGUUCCGGCAUCGAUGAAGAACGCAGCGAAAUGCGAUACGUAAUGUGAAUUGCAAAUUCAGUGAAUCAUCGAGUCUUUGAACGCACAUUGCGCCCCCUGGUAUUCCGGGGGGCAUGCCUGUCCGAGCGUCAUUGCUGCCCUCAAGCCCGGCUUGUGUGUUGGGCCCCGUCCUCCGAUUCCGGGGGACGGGCCCGAAAGGCAGCGGCGGCACCGCGUCCGGUCCUCGAGCGUAUGGGGCUUUGUCACCCGCUCUGUAGGCCCGGCCGGCGCUUGCCGAUCAACCCAAAUUUUUAUCCAGGUUGACCUCGGAUCAGG